AGUGGCGAACGGGUGAGUAACGCGUGAGUAUCUGCCCUUAGGAGGGGGACAACAGUUGGAAACGACUGCUAAUACCCCAUAUGUCUACGGAUGAAAGAUUUUAUCGCCUGAGGAUGAACUCGCGUCUGAUUAGCUAGUUGGUGAGGUAAUGGCUCACCAAGGCAACGAUCAGUAGCUGGUCUGAGAGGAUGAUCAGCCACACUGGGACUGAGACACGGCCCAGACUCCUACGGGAGGCAGCAGUGGGGAAUUUUCCGCAAUGGGGGCAACCCUGACGGAGCAAUACCGCGUGCGGGAGGACGGCCUGUGGGUUGUAAACCGCUUUUCUCAGGGAAGAAGACCUGACGGUACCUGAGGAAUCAGCAUCGGCUAACUCCGUGCCAGCAGCCGCGGUAAUACGGAGGAUGCAAGCGUUAUCCGGAAUUAUUGGGCGUAAAGCGUCCGUAGGUGGUUAAUCAAGUCUGCUGUUAAAGAGCGGAGCUUAACUCCGUUUAAGCGGUGGAAACUGGUUGACUAGAGAGUGGUAGGGGUAGAGGGAAUUCCCAGUGUAGCGGUGAAAUGCGUAGAUAUUGGGAAGAACACCGGUGGCGAAAGCGCUCUACUGGGCCACAUCUGACACUGAUGGACGAAAGCUAGGGUAGCGAAAGGGAUUAGAUACCCC
RNAcentral lists this ribosomal RNA (661 nucleotides) under uncultured bacterium. RNAcentral describes it as "bacterial SSU rRNA". It matches the Rfam family "Bacterial small subunit ribosomal RNA", at positions 94 to 788 of the family's 1533-position model. The record is from RNAcentral.